UCGUAGGUGGCGAGCGUUGUCCGGAUUUAUUGGGUUUAAAGGGUGCGUAGGCGGCCCUAUAAGUCAGUGCUGAAAUAUCCCGGCUUAACCGGGAGGGUGGCAUUGAUACUGUAGGGCUUGAGUAAAGUUGAGGUUGGCGGAAUUGACGGUGUAGCGGUGAAAUGCUUAGAUAUGACAUAGAACACCAAUUGCGAAGGCAGCUCACUACGCGAAUAUUGACACUGAGGCACGAAAGCGUGGGGAUCAAACAGGA
RNAcentral lists this ribosomal RNA (253 nucleotides) under uncultured prokaryote. RNAcentral describes it as "partial 16S ribosomal RNA". It matches the Rfam family "Bacterial small subunit ribosomal RNA", at positions 525 to 777 of the family's 1533-position model. The record is from RNAcentral.